GUUGCUCUGAUUUGCUUAUUGCACCACAUGUGUUUUUCUUUGAAACAAACUUGCUUUGGCGGUGGGCCCAGCCUGCCGCCAGAGGUCUAAACUUACAACCAAUUUUUUAUCAACUUGUCACACCAGAUUAUUACUAAUAGUCAAAACUUUCAACAACGGAUCUCUUGGUUCUCGCAUCGAUGAAGAACGCAGCGAAAUGCGAUACGUAAUAUGAAUUGCAGAUAUUCGUGAAUCAUCGAAUCUUUGAACGCACAUUGCGCCCUCUGGUAUUCCGGAGGGCAUGCCUGUUUGAGCGUCGUUUCUCCCUCAAACCGCUGGGUUUGGUGUUGAGCAAUACGACUUGGGUUUGCUUGAAAGACGGUAGUGGUAAGGCGGGAUCGCUUUGACAAUGGCUUAGGUCUAACCAAAAACAUUGCUUGCGGCGGUAACGUCUACCACGUAUAUCUUCAAACUUUGACCUCAAAUCAGGUAGGACUACCCGCUGAACUUAAGCAUAUCAAUAAGCGGAGGAA
This 512-nucleotide ribosomal RNA is filed under the name Candida albicans. Its description in RNAcentral is "eukaryotic LSU rRNA". The stretch from base 145 to 298 matches the Rfam family "5.8S ribosomal RNA". Lineage: Eukaryota; Fungi; Ascomycota; Pichiomycetes; Serinales; Debaryomycetaceae. The record is from RNAcentral.